RNAcentral lists this ribosomal RNA (354 nucleotides) under Triticum aestivum (bread wheat). RNAcentral's name for it is "partial small subunit ribosomal RNA". Lineage: Eukaryota; Viridiplantae; Streptophyta; Magnoliopsida; Poales; Poaceae. The record is from RNAcentral.
AUGCUCAAUAUUUAUCGCCGAGAUGAGCUAUCUAUCCGCCACAAUAUCAAGAGUGGUUUCAUUGUAGAUCAGGUGCUUCGUAACACUACCGCUCAAAAGAUGGGCAUUAGAAGAGGAGAUGUCAUAGAUGUGAUGUCAUUGGAGCUUGGUACAACUUUAUCUGAGUUUGAAGACAAUCUUCUUGAAAUUAGUUGGCAGUUUCUGGAAAAGGAACUUGAUCCGAUUCUUGACCUGCAGAUUCAAGUCCACAAUCUCUAUGACAGAGAAAGCGUGUGUACUGUGUUGCCUAUGAGGUUCAGGAAUGCUACAGUGAAUCAACAUGAUUCACUUGAGUUCGAAGUUACCAAGAAGUGA